RNAcentral lists this ribosomal RNA (511 nucleotides) under uncultured bacterium. Its description in RNAcentral is "partial 16S ribosomal RNA". It matches the Rfam family "Bacterial small subunit ribosomal RNA", at positions 30 to 523 of the family's 1533-position model. The record is from RNAcentral.
AUUGAACGCUGGCGGCAUGCCUAACACAUGCAAGUCGAACGGCAGCACAAUAAAGAUUUCGGUCUUUAUGGGUGGCGAGUGGCGGACGGGUGAGUAACGCGUAGGAAUCUGUCCUGGAGAGUGGGAUAACCCGAGGAAACUCGGGCUAAUACUGCAUGACAUUGAGAGAUCAAAAGCAGGAGACCGAAAGGCCUUGCGCUCUGGGGUGAGCAUACGUCGGAUUAGCGAGUUGGUGGGGUAAAGGCCUGCCAAGGCGACGAUCCGUAGCUGGUCUGAGAGGAUGACCAGCCACACUGGGACUGAGACACGGCCCAGACUCCUACGGGAGGCAGCAGUGGGGAAUCUUGGACAAUGGGGGAAACCCUGAUCCAGCGAUGCCGCGUGUGUGAAGAGGGCCUUCGGGUUGUAAAGCACUUUAGGUGGGGAAGAAAGGUAGCGAGUGAAUAACUUUCCGCUGUGACGGUACCCACAGAAUAAGCACCGGCUAACUCUGUGCCAGCCGCCGCCGUAA